This 346-nucleotide unclassified non-coding RNA is filed under the name Hevea brasiliensis (rubber tree). The record is from RNAcentral. Lineage: Eukaryota; Viridiplantae; Streptophyta; Magnoliopsida; Malpighiales; Euphorbiaceae.
AUGAGAUAUAACAUAUCUGAAGCUGCUUUUUAGCAACAAUAUCUCUAAGAAAGUGGAAAUCCAUUUCAAUUUGCUUCGUCCGAGUGUGGAAAAUGGGAUUGAUGGAUGGGUAAGUGGCACCCACAUUAUCAAACCAAAGAGUCGAGCAUGUAGAAGAAGGAUAGCCAAUGUCAUAGAGUAAUGAUUGAAGCUAAAUUACGUCUAUUGUAGCAGCACCCACUGCAUGAUAUUCAGCUUCUGUAAAGUUUUUGGCCACGGUUGGUGUUUUCGUGGACACCAAGAGAUAAGAUUUGCAACUAGAAACGCUAUGUAACUAGUAACAGAUUUUUGGUCAUCGGGAUUUGUG